UUAAGUUCAGCGGGUAUCCCCAUCUGAUCCGAGGUCAACAUUGAAAGGUGCACGAAGGCGGUUGUCCGGCGGACGACGCCCUGCUUUGAACGCUGGAAUGUUAUUCUCGCUGCGCUUAAAGACGGACGGCGACGCCGAGGAGUUUGAGGCGCGCCCGCAGAGGGCGGCGCCCAAUACCAAGCUGAGCUUGAGUGUUGUAA
RNAcentral lists this unclassified non-coding RNA (200 nucleotides) under fungal sp. RNAcentral describes it as "partial internal transcribed spacer 2". Lineage: Eukaryota; Fungi. The record is from RNAcentral.